GACGAACGCUGGCGGCGUGCUUAACACAUGCAAGUCGAGCGGUAAGGCCCUUUCGGGGGGUACACGAGCGGCGAACGGGUGAGUAACACGUGGGUGACCUGCCCUUAGCUCUGGGAUAAGCCUGGGAAACUGGGUCUAAUACCGGAUAUGACUCCAUGACGCAUGUUGUGGGGUGGAAAGCCUUGUGCGGCUAGGGAUGGGCCCGCGGCCUAUCAGCUUGUUGGUGAGGUGANGGCCUACCAAGGCGACGACGGGUAGCCGGCCUGAGAGGGCGACCGGCCACACUGGGACUGAGACACGGCCCAGACUCCUACGGGAGGCAGCAGUGGGGAAUCUUGCGCAAUGGGCGAAAGCCUGACGCAGCGACGCCGCGUGAGGGAUGACGGCCU
RNAcentral lists this ribosomal RNA (389 nucleotides) under uncultured bacterium. RNAcentral's name for it is "bacterial SSU rRNA". It matches the Rfam family "Bacterial small subunit ribosomal RNA", at positions 28 to 417 of the family's 1533-position model. The record is from RNAcentral.